AUACGGAGGAUCCGAGCGUUAUCCGGAUUUAUUGGGUUUAAAGGGUGCGCAGGCGGCCAUUUAAGUCAGCGGUUAAAUCGUGGGGCUCAACCCCAUUCUGCCGUUGAUACUGGGUGGCUUGAUUGCGGUCGAGGUUGGCGGAAUUCGUUGUGUAGCGGUGAAAUGCAUAGAUAUGACGAAGAACACCGAUUGCGUAGGCAGCUGACCAGACCGCAAAUGACGCUCAUGCACGAAAGUGCGGGGAUCGAACAGGGUUAGAUACCCUGGUAGUCCGCACAGUAAACGAUGAAUACUUGUUUUCGGCGAUAUAAUGUCGGAGGCAAAGCGAAAGCGAUAAGUAUUCCACCUGGGGAGUACGCCGGCAACGGUGAAACUCAAAUGAAUUGACGGGG
RNAcentral lists this ribosomal RNA (392 nucleotides) under uncultured bacterium. RNAcentral's name for it is "partial 16S ribosomal RNA". It matches the Rfam family "Bacterial small subunit ribosomal RNA", at positions 523 to 918 of the family's 1533-position model. The record is from RNAcentral.